This is a long non-coding RNA of Anopheles funestus (African malaria mosquito), 636 nucleotides long. RefSeq lists it as uncharacterized. NCBI's taxonomy places the organism in Eukaryota, Metazoa, Arthropoda, Insecta, Diptera, Culicidae. The transcript has 3 exons. The record is from RefSeq and is a predicted model, not a curated record.
AGGUGUCUUGGCUAAUGUGUCUUGGCUAAGGUGUCUUGGCUAAGGUGUCUUGGCUAAGGUGUCUUGGCUAAGGUGUCUUGGCUAAUAUGUCUUGGCUAAUGUGUUUUGGCUAAUGUAUCUUGGCUAAUGUGUCUUGGCUAAGGUGUCUUGGCUUAUGUGUCUCGGCUUAUGUGUCUUGGCUAAUGUGUCUUGGCUAAUGUGUCUUGGCUAAAGUGUUUUGGCUAAUGUGUCUUUUCUAAGGUGUCUUGGCUAAGGUGUCUUGGCUAAUGUGUCUUGGCUAAUGUGUCUUUUCUAAGGUGUCUUGGCUAAGGUGUCUUGGCUAAUGUGUCUUGGCUAAGGUGUCUUGGCUAAUGUGUCUUGGCUAAGGUGUCUUGGCUAAGGUGUCUUGGCUAAGGUGUCUUGGCUAAGGUGUCUUGGCUAAGGUGACUUGGCUAAUGUGUCUUGGCUAAGGUGUCUUGGCUAAGGUGUCUUGGCUAAUGUGUCUUGGCUAAGGUGUCUUGGCUAAUGUGUCUUGGCUAAGGUGUCUUGGCUAAGGUGUCUUGGCUAAGGUGUCUUGGCUAAGGUGUCUUGGCUAAGGUGUCUUGGCUAAGGUGUCUUGGCUAAGGUGUCUUGGCUAAGGUGUCUUGGCUAAGGUGU